Anoplopoma fimbria (sablefish) is the source of this 255-nucleotide long non-coding RNA. RefSeq lists it as uncharacterized. NCBI's taxonomy places the organism in Eukaryota, Metazoa, Chordata, Actinopteri, Perciformes, Anoplopomatidae. The transcript has 3 exons. The record is from RefSeq and is a predicted model, not a curated record.
ACAGGGCGUCCAUGGAGCCUUGUGGACAUUCUCAAGCUGGAUGGAGACAAUCACACUGCUGUCAAGAAAAAACAAAACAUAAUUGCUAUCAGCCAUGCCGCUCCAUAAUCACAUCGUGAAAGAGGCCUGGACGCAAGACAGGAUUCAAGAGCUUGAGGAUUCUGCGCCAGCCCCCGAGCAACAAGACCAUGUAAAUCUUUAGUUUAAAGUAAAAAAAUAUACAAUUCUAUCUAUUGGAACUUGAAACAGUGAAAA